Austrofundulus limnaeus is the source of this 532-nucleotide long non-coding RNA. RefSeq lists it as uncharacterized. Lineage: Eukaryota; Metazoa; Chordata; Actinopteri; Cyprinodontiformes; Rivulidae. The record is from RefSeq and is a predicted model, not a curated record. The transcript has 3 exons.
GCAUCUGUUCAAUACUGCAGCGUCUGCAGGGCAGCAACAAAGUGAAAGCUGAGCCCUCGUCCAUCUGCUUUACUCAUCCUUCUGGUGAGAUGGAUCCUACAGCGGUUCCGAGGACCGGAGCUACCCGCUGCGGCCGGCGUUUCGGCUGGACAGGAGGAAAGAGUUUUUUWAAGUUUUUUCCCUCUACUGAACGUGUCCACGCUGGGAUUUGUCCUUAGUUUCGGCCGCUGUGGUUGUCUUUGGGACUGGAGCUGGAAAGAACCUGUCUGACAGAAACACGGAGAGCCUGGAGCAGAUCUAGAAGGGAUCUCCUGGCUGGGAAGAUCUUGGGAUCCCUCAGGUGGCUCUGAAGGGAGACAUUGGGAAGAAAGAUGGGUUUUACUCCUGGACCUGUUACUCCUGCAACCCAUCCAAAGAUAAGAAGGAAGAAAGUAAAAUACAAGAUAAAAUAAAGUUUAAAACCCUGCAGAAAUAUUGCAACAACUUUUCUAUUUCUUAAAAAAAAUCCCAAUUUUUUACAUUUUACUCAGAA